Molecule: unclassified non-coding RNA, 367 nt
Filed under: Acacia decurrens
Lineage: Eukaryota; Viridiplantae; Streptophyta; Magnoliopsida; Fabales; Fabaceae
Description: partial external transcribed spacer
Source: RNAcentral
GUGCCCGUCCACCGAACGGUCUGCAGGCGAUCCGCGUCGGUCGCGCUGGGUGGUAUGGUUCCCCAGAGGCCGGUUCUUGUGCUGCCUACCCCCUUCAGGGGAAGAGUUCCAAACUCGAUGUAAGCCUCCAUCCGGCGCCCUCCAAAGGGCGCGGGAGGACAACGGAGCACCCCCCGCGUUCCACCGAGCCUCCUCGGUCGCGUGGCCCGCGGGGACGUGCGAUGCUCUCGGACCCAGCGAACGCCGUGGGCGAGGACUCACGUCCCGGUCCCAAGUGAAGCAAACGGUAUAACGCACGACGGCCGCUCCCGCCCCCCGACCGCCCCGGCGGCGCGGGGGCGAAGGCGCGGCGUCGCUGAGGAAUGCU